AUGUUGUCCCUUCCUCUUCCUCGCCACGCCGAAGGCCCCAACCCCAAGGUCCCGACCACCUCCGCCUGCCUCCUCCGCCCGCGCGGCCGUCUCCUGCUCGGGUCCAGCAGAGCUGCCACGAAGAAUCUGCCGGCUUCCUCCCCGGAUGCUUCGAGCCUGCGCCUCGCCUCCGUGGCCGCCCCCUCCCCGCGCGCCUCUGUCCGACGCCCAGACGGCGGCGGCCUCCUCCUCCUCUCCGUCGCUGCUUCCGCGGUUGCAGUGUCUGCCAGCUUCAUAUUCUUUUCGGCGAUUCCCUCCAUGUUGGAUGGUAAGAGGGCAGCAGAGUCUCUUGAAAAGUCCUUUGAUCUCACAAGAGAGAAGCUUGCUGAAACUAUGGCUUCAGUGAGACUAGUUGCAAAAGAGAUCGGUGCCUUGAGUGUUGAUCUCAGUGACCUAAGUCAAGAAUUGACGAAGGUUGUGAGGAGUUCCUUGAGCAUUGUUCAUACAGCUGACGCUCAACUUCGCCAGCUGGCAACCUCAGCCCAACAAGGAACCGCUCAGGGGGCGGCUAACCGGAAGAAAGCAGUAGCGGAGCCAUUGGUGGCUACUACCGUGAGAGAAGUCCGUGAGUUGAUUGCGGACAUCCGGUCAGGAUUUGGAGCAGCCUUCGGCAUCGCCAGCCUUUUCAGGUGGGCAUCAGAAUUUUGGUCAAAGCGCCCUACGAAUAACUCACAGUGA
RNAcentral lists this ribosomal RNA (717 nucleotides) under Triticum aestivum (bread wheat). Its description in RNAcentral is "partial small subunit ribosomal RNA". Lineage: Eukaryota; Viridiplantae; Streptophyta; Magnoliopsida; Poales; Poaceae. The record is from RNAcentral.